ACUCCUACGGGAGGCAGCAGUGGGGAAUAUUGCACAAUGGGGGAAACCCUGAUGCAGCCAUGCCGCGUGUGUGAAGAAGGCCCUUGGGUUGUAAAGCACUUUCAGUAGGGAGGAAGGUAGUGUAGUUAACACCUGCAUUAUUUGACGUUACCUACAGAAGAAGCACCGGCUAACUCCGUGCCAGCAGCCGCGGUAAUACGGAGGGUGCGAGCGUUAAUCGGAAUUACUGGGCGUAAAGCGCAUGCAGGCGGCCUGUUAAGUCAGAUGUGAAAGCCCGGGGCUUAACCUCGGAAUUGCAUUUGAAACUGGCAGGCUAGAGUCUUGUAGAGGGGUAGAAGUUUCAGGUGUAGCGGUGAAAUGCGU
Molecule: ribosomal RNA, 363 nt
Filed under: uncultured bacterium
Lineage: Bacteria
Description: bacterial SSU rRNA
Rfam family: Bacterial small subunit ribosomal RNA
Source: RNAcentral